RNAcentral lists this transfer RNA (69 nucleotides) under Marmota monax (woodchuck). Its description in RNAcentral is "tRNA.Ala". Lineage: Eukaryota; Metazoa; Chordata; Mammalia; Rodentia; Sciuridae. The record is from RNAcentral.
GGUGCUGGGGCUCAGUGGUAGAGCACUUGCCUAGCAUGUGUGAGGCAUUGGGUUUGAGUCUUAGCACCA